This 123-nucleotide microRNA precursor is filed under the name Orobanche cernua var. cumana. RNAcentral describes it as "miR156b". The stretch from base 17 to 108 matches the Rfam family "mir-156 microRNA precursor family". From Rfam's summary of the family: This family represents the plant microRNA (miRNA) precursor mir-156. Lineage: Eukaryota; Viridiplantae; Streptophyta; Magnoliopsida; Lamiales; Orobanchaceae. The record is from RNAcentral.
CGAAGGGUAACGGGAGGUGACAGAAGAGAGUGAGCACACAUGGUGUUUUUCUCCCAUGAUGGACUCCUGCAUGCUUGAAGCUAUGCGUGCUUACUCUCUUUCUGUCACCCCAUCUCUCUCUCU